RNAcentral lists this ribosomal RNA (164 nucleotides) under uncultured bacterium. Its description in RNAcentral is "partial 16S rRNA". It matches the Rfam family "Bacterial small subunit ribosomal RNA", at positions 355 to 511 of the family's 1533-position model. The record is from RNAcentral.
UAGGGAAUCUUCCACAAUGGGCGCAAGCCUGAUGGAGCAACGCCGCGUGAGUGAAGAAGGUCUUCGGAUCGUAAAACUCUGUUGUUAGAGAAGAACAUGCAGGAGAGUAACUGUUCUUGUAUUGACGGUAUCUAACCAGCAAGUCACGGCUAACUACGUGCCAG